UAUAUCUAUUUAUACGAAUAUAUCAUAUAUAUAUAUGUAUAUACAUAUAUAUAUAUAUAUAAAUAUUUUUUUUUUAACAAUGAAAAGUCACCAAAUACUUGACGAUACUUUGAUUCGAAAUAAAUUGGAAUUCACGUUGUUGCAUUGCCUCCGCGAGAAAGAUUUCGAUCACGUGCAUUUAUAUCCCCCCCCCCCCCCCCCCCACUCCUUCGUAAUUUCGCGCAAGCGUUUGGUGAUUUGGUGAAACGGAACUGUGUAUGCGAAUACCUCGGGGUAUAAAAAGGGACUCGUUUCUGGACGAGCAGUGAGUAGUUUGUCUGGCUGAGUUGGAAAGAGUCAAACUGUGGUCACCGACGACCCUCGAACGGCUGAAAAGGGUGGCGAAAAGAGCGAAAAGCGGUUCGCGGGUUCCUUUUGAAAAGCGCGCCGCUUCUGUUUCACGCGUUCGCGUGAAUGGCGGCCGCGGACAAAGCCGCCCGCCUCGUCCGCUUUUAUUCCCGUAAUUAAGGACCACUCUGACGAAAAAGAGAGAGAGAGCAUUGCGACCGGGUCGUCUUAUAAUUAAGGGAAAAAAGAAAAAAGAAAAAAAAAAAAAAAGAAAAAGAAGAGAGAAAAAAAAAAAACGGAAAAAAAGAAAGAAAAAAAAAAAAGAUUUGUGAAAACAAUUUUUAUCCAAUCCUUCUCCAACGGAUAUUUUUUUGUUCGGAGAAAAAUGAAUAAAUAAAUAAAGUAAAAUUGAAGAAGAUCUUUGACGUGUUGGAAUUUAAUGUUUCUUGUUGUUGUUUAUUAUUAUUAUUAUUAUUAUUAUUAGUUUGGUUACGUAUAAUUGCAUGCAUUCAUAUUAUUGGUUUAUUGCACGUUCGUGACGAGAUUGUCGAGUUGGUUUUUUUUUUAAUCUUGUCUGGACCUGUCUUGUUUAAUAUUUCCUUUCUUCUUUUUUUUUUUCUCUCUCUCCUUUUCCCGUACGAAUUUUUUGGUUCGUUCUGUUUCGAUCAGUUUUUAUUUUUUUUCGUUUUCACCUCGCCUCGCGUUUCUUUCGAUUUUCCUAACCAAUCGAUCGAGAAAAAAGUGGGAGGGGAAAAAAAUGAAUAGAGAGAUGGGCGAAAUUAAAAGAAAAAACGCAAAAAAAAGAUAGCGUACUUUUUUUACCUUUUUGUCAAUAAUUUAUAAUAUCCCGUGUAAAGAAAUAAAUUUUUACGAGUAUCGGUUACGGAGCGAAUAUAUACGACUAGAACGCUUAGAAAGACGAGUUGUUCCUUCUUUCCUUGUUCCUCUCGUUGUUGCCGUACCCCCGAUCGAAACAAGCGUUAUUUCUGGAAAUACGCGGAUUCGAUGACUUGACGCGCGAUAAAAAGAAGGUAGGAAGGAGGAGGAGGAGGGGGAACGAGCGAAUGAGCAGCUCGUAGUUAAACUCAAUUUCCUUCUAACAAGGGGGUUAUAUCGCCUCGGGCAUCGGAGGAAUUCCAGCGAUAUUCUUGCUCUCUCCCUCUCUCUCACUCUGUCUCGACGAGAGAGAGUGGGAUGACAGCCAGCGCUUGGAAUUUAUCCACGAGUACUACGUUUGCUCCUUUUUUACCGUCGGGUAAAUGAUAAUUUCACUUCAUCCUGCAAUUUAUCCAUCGAUUCAUUUCGCGCGAAUUAGAAAUUGAAAAAAAAAGAAAAUUGUAUUACUCUUAGCGAUCCAACGAUAUAUCAAUUCAAUCGUGGAUGUCGAGGACAGCGUGCGCGAAACAAUUAAUUGUGAUCGUCGAGCAAACAGCGCACCACCACUGUCGACAGAUUCACCGACAGAUUAACUCGGUUGUGAUCACAUAUUACCGCGGUGUCUCGGCGAUAUCCGGAAUUACGCGACGAUCAAUACGCUAAAGACGUAUUACUAUGCGAUCUCUCCUCCAAGGAUAUUACUCGGAUCAUCGCCGCAUAUCCGAACGUGUAGCGUAUACUUUGAACAAAAGGCACGAGUAUCAAAUGGCGCGUGUGUUCGAAGAGGGAGGGGAUGACAACAGGCUUCUCGAUUCUCGGUCGGUAAUGCCGGUGUAUCGAUGGUGAAAAAUAUUGCGAUAUUAAUACGCAUUAUUCGCGAGCUACGCUCGUACGUUAUCUGGAAAAAAAAAAGGAAGGAAUCUACCUGUUCUCUGAAUCUCAAUCGUCGAAAAUUCUCCAACUUCGAAAAUUCACCACUAAUUUCACUUCAUACAUGAAAUAAACCGCCAAGAUUUUCGCUCGACUCGUAAAAAAGAUCACGAUCAACAUCCAUAACCGGGCAAUUUUCAUUUUAAAAACAAUCUACUCGAUUUUCACGGACGAUUGCUCCUCGGUAUAAAUAUCGGUUUCUUCUCUCUCUCUCUCUCUUCGAUGUAUCGGCUGUGCACGGAACACGGUGCACGACGGGCGGCCAUCUUGGUGGGGACUCGCAAUAUGGCUCCAUUUGCGAGGCUGUCGCUGUAGAUCGGGACGAUAAUUUUCUGGUGGCUCGUUGUCUCGACGUUUUCCGACCGUUUGGCCAACGCCAAAUGGAUGGAUCGUCGCCACCGGAAGUCGAUUAUAACGUAACAAUUUUGAGAAUCGCGGCGCUGCAAUCGCGGGUAACUUUCCUCGUUAACUCGGUCGCUGCUCGCUGUUUCCAGCUGCUUUUUCGCCGCUCUGUGAUCAAGUGCCGUUUCACGCUUCUCGAUUCGAAAUUGUCGGCCGGGUAUAAAUAGGUCCAUCUUUCGAUAAGAUUCAUAUUAUAUCGGUUAAUUAGUGUCCUUUUCAUAAAUCAAUGCGUAAUUUUUCGUUUAUUUUUUUUUUCAAAAAUUUGAUAAUUGAACAGCCGUGUUGUUAGAUCUUUUGUCUUGGCUCGCUUCGUUAAAUUCGAUUUUUAUCUAUUCCCGAGCAAAGCCAAUUAGCACGUGUUUCUUUCGCGAAAACACGCGCAAUCACUCGCCCCUCUUUCUCGUCGAACGAGAUCGACUUCCGGCCUUGCCCAACCAACUUUUUCCUAAUUGCAUCGCGCUUAUCGCGAUACAGCGUGCCGGGACCCGCCGCCUAGAGCAAUUUCCCCGUUAAUUGAAAUUUUUCCUGGCCCCUGCCCGCCCGAUAGGUGGCCUGCAAAAAUUGGAUAAAGCCCUCUUUUCACCCAACUUUCUCGACGAAACUGCGAAAACUGGAGUAGAAGAUCGUUACGGGAUCGUUAAUGGCGAAAAAGUUUCGGAAAAGUUUUUCCUCCUCUCCUCUUCUUCACGCUUCCGAUUUUGUUGUACGAAAUUUCCAAAAAAAAAAAAAAAAAGUAUCUAUUACUAUCUAUUACCGACGGAGAAAGAAUUAGGGCACGGUUUAAUAUUCGAUUUAAUAUUCCCAAGAAUCGAGAAGAAUUAUUCUCAACGUUGAGAAAAAUAAACAAAAACAAAACAAAAAAAAAAAGAAACCGAAAUGAAAGGUAGAAGUAAUAAUAAGAACACUUUGAAGAAAUUUAAAGUCCUGCCAUCUAUUUACACGUCUUACACACGCGCACGCGUAUUAUAAACAACGUUUAAGGACGUUUAUCUAGAAGGCGAUCCACUUAAUACCCUGGCAUUCCUUGCCUCGAGCGAGGAAUCCAAGCCUCGGUGAAAUUAUUCGCGCUCCACGAAGGAACCUCCUCCCCCUCUCCCUCUAAGACCAAGAUUAAUCGUCGGUUAAUUACCCCAUUGGAUGCGAGGGAUAAUUUUAUCAGACAGCGACCUAUUGCCAGGGUUAAUGCCGCGCUGAUAUUGGCCGAGGUAGAUACGCCGAUGACAGCCACAGCCGUUGAUAUAUAUAUAUAUAUAUAUAUAUUAUAUAAUAUAUAUGCAUACAUACGUACGCAACGUAUCCCUGCCAUUGUCGCGAGAAACACCGGCAGGCACGCGUUCCACGUGUGUGUACACGCGCGCGCAGCGAUGGAUCGGUGUGCAUCCGUUAACGCACGCCCGCUCGAUUGUGGUUGACCGUGGUUGAACUCUCGUCGCCAAUUCCCCCCUUCCACCUCCUCCGUCCGCCUUCUGCUCCUUUCCCCCCUUCCCCCUCUUCCUCUUGCUCCUCGCAGCGCCGUCUACUCGAUUCUACUUGCUUAGAGAUAUUGUCUGCGCGACGCGUGUCAGCGUGUCGUUGCCACCCACGCCGUGUGCCCCGAUAAAAUUAUCCUGUUGACGAGUUACCUUAACGAGCAAGACGUGGAUCACGGUAAUUCGCCGCCGAGAUGUUGGGGCUGUUUCAGAGCCCAACCUCUCGCGUUUAAAGCGAGACACGAGUGGCUGGUUUUUGACGCGGCUCGGAGGAUAACUCGUCGCUUGGAUCGUAUGCCGGUCGAGUUAUAGGUUAUAGAUAGAACGGUGCGUGUACGAUGGGAUUGAUUGGAGAGUUGGAAUUAAAAUUCAAAGAGGACAAAUCGCCCCGUUUAUCAAUCCUUGGGAUCGCGGCGGGCGGGUGACAAAUGGCGACGCGGAAGGGUUGUUUUAAAAAAAGAAAGAAAAAAAAAGGGAAAAAAUUCGGUUAUUCAUCGGUCCAUAUAGAAAAUUGAAUGGAAUCAAGCGCUCUGUCCGGAUAGUUUGUAACCGAUCUAGCGAAACGGGCGACCGCAAUUUUGCGAACGGCCAACAAUUCAAUUAAAUUCGCGCCAACACCGCCGCGCCGCCACCACUUCCGCCGCGGAAACGCGGCCGGAAAAUUUGGCCGGCGCAAAAUUUGUCGAGUCGCGCCCGAAAUAAAUUUCGUGCCCCGAAUCGAUCAUCCUUCCUUCCAACGAAUGCUCCUCCUCCUGCCUCUUCCCCCUCCCCUCCUCCCUUUUAAUUCCACUCUGUAAUUCGGUAAUGCAAUAAUCAUUACACACAACCAGGGGGAGGGGGGGAUCGAUCGUCCUCUUUGUUCAGCGAAACGAUAACUCUGCUUUUGCUCCUUUUGUACCCUCGUUAAUCGCCUUUCGAUUCGAAUUCCGAUGUAAUAAUUAUGGAAAUCCGAUACGUAAACCCGAUCCUUCUCCUCGCUAUUCACGUUUAAUCGCACGAUUCGCGUUUUCAAUUUGUCAGGAAGCGUGGUUAUAUAAGAAAUAAUUUGAAUCUUUGCUACGAACUUUCGCACUUUUCGUAAGACACAGCGUUCUUUCUCAGUAGCGCGCACAUUUCAGUAGCUUGGUCAACCGAUCUGUCAAGAUGGAAGGCAAAAAGUAAACAGCGACGCGAGCGACGCUUCUCGCACGCCGUGUGUUGCUCGAAAUUGUAGAACUGGAAACUAUUAGAGCGCUCGUCGCGACUCUUCUUGAAAACAAAAGAACGCUCUUUCAGAUGGCGCCACCAACGGUAAAAAGUAAUUCGAAUUCAGUGAGAAAUUACGAUCGUAGAAAGAAAGAGGAACUUUGUACGCGCAAUACGUCAAUUUAACUUCGUUUGUUUCGUUUCACGAUUUUAACGGUCGAGAAGGGUGGAAGAAACGGAUAAAACUGUUCGAAAGAUCGAACAGAUAUACAGUACAGGCUGAAUAUUUGGAAUAUUUAGAAACGACUCGCCGUGGCUGAAGUGUCAACGUGGAGCCCAGGCUCGAUCAGCAUUAUCCUGCUUGAAAAGAAUUAUAUACAAACGCUUGCGGAUCAGUUUCCUUUGCGGAUGGCGCCACGAACGGUAAAGUAAUUCGAAUUCGGUGAAAAGUUACGUUAUUUGCACAAUCCAAUACAUACAUAUAUAUAUAGUUUCUCGAUUCAUUUCGUUUCUCAAAUUAUACGUUGAUUUUCGAGGGAAAGUUAAAAAAAAGCCAAGAAAAUGUGGAAAUGUGGAACCAGGGUUUCUCUUCUGUAUCCUCCGGUAUUAUCCACCGGGCCGAAGCCCGUUAAUAACGAAGACGAGCGUUCAAUCGAGCCUCGAACAUUCCCUACCUCUCCCCCUCUCCCCCCCCCUCCCCACUUUUCGACCUCGAUAUAAUCGAUAAUCACACAGGAAACGGGGCCAUCGCAUCGUCGAGAUGGCCCGAAUACAGACGUCUCUCAGGUGUAUCUCGAGUGCGUAGCAUCGUUUAAAUCUAUCCCCUCCC
Long non-coding RNA from Apis mellifera (honey bee), 6018 nucleotides. RefSeq lists it as uncharacterized. Lineage: Eukaryota; Metazoa; Arthropoda; Insecta; Hymenoptera; Apidae. The record is from RefSeq and is a predicted model, not a curated record. The transcript is spliced from 2 exons.